Molecule: non-coding RNA, 803 nt
Organism: Chelonoidis abingdonii (Abingdon island giant tortoise)
Lineage: Eukaryota; Metazoa; Chordata; Testudines; Testudinidae
Source: RefSeq, a predicted model, not a curated record
AACGUAAAUGAAAAGAAUCCAGCUAUGCAGUAUUUCUUUUUAACGGGCUCAAUCAAAGUGAUGUUAACAUGCCUGCAGUUCUGAUCGAUCACCACUGAACUCACCUGAAUACAAAUAAUUUUACCGGGUGUCCCGUAUUGAGCAGAGGGAAGUGUGGUCACCUGAGAUCUCAGGCAGGAGUCGGGGGCUCCACGGAAGGGAGUUCUAGUACCCGGAGAGGGUUUCAGUUAACUUGCCGAGCAGAGGGGCCAGUUCCUAAUGAAUUAAAUCUCCCCAGGGAAUAAGAGGCCUCAGCGUGUCCAAGGGCAGGUGGAAGGAAGCUGCUGAGUUUCACAGCAAAACUUCCUCACUGAUGGUUUGACUUGAGGUCUAGAAGCCAAGAAUUGAUGAUUAAACUGCAUAGAGGUAGUUAGGGCUUGAACUCAAUGAACCGAUAUCACUGUUUAGUAUCUGAUUCUGAUUCACAACAUGUUUAUUCAUUACCCUGAGGUACCCAGUAACAGGAAAUAGCUACCGCGGAGAUGCACCACCUGACACCAGCCCGGCGGGUCAGCUCUGCCCAGGACAGUUAUUACAAUACAGUAUUUGGGUUACUGCAGGGCCCACAGCCUGCAAGGCAUCACCUACGUGGCUGGGGAGACGCAGGCCCAGCUCCAAGGAGCUGACAGCUCAGGGCCUCACGUAAACAUACAAAGGGUGGGGAACUGAAUAAAUACACAUCGACUACACCCAACUGCCCCCGCCCCCUCACCGUUGUUAGCUGGCCAAGGUCCUGGAGGAGGGACAUGACCUGGCCUGGAGGG